Non-coding RNA from Acanthosepion pharaonis, 97 nucleotides. The record is from the annotation of a GenBank genome assembly. NCBI's taxonomy places the organism in Eukaryota, Metazoa, Mollusca, Cephalopoda, Sepiida, Sepiidae.
UGAAACAUUGAUUCUUAUAUGAUCACUGAAGUUAAGCAAUGUUGAGCCUGAUCAGUACCUAGAUGGGUGACCACUUGGAAAUACUAUGUGCUGUAAG